UUUGUUGGGUGGGCUUAUAUAAAAUUGUCUGUAAAUUUAUAUCAAAAUGAGCUUGUUGGUUCGAGUGGUAAGGGAGUUAGUAUGUUGGAGGUCUUGUUUUUGAAUCCCUACGCGAGCGUGAUGUUAUUUUUGCUCAGUUGCAUGAGAGAGUUUCGAUGGAGUUGGAAUUCUGAGUUAGUUGUUGUCAGUGGGAUAGUGGGGAGGGAUUUUUGGGAUAUCUUUUAUUUUUAUUUUCUUUUUUCAAAAUUCCUCUCUUUUGAGGAAAAUUGACGUCAAAUUUUCUUUUGUUUUCUUCUAUUCUUUUAUUCCUCACCUUUUCUGUUACUUCCUCUAUUUUGCUUCGAUUCGUCAACGAAUCUUGGUAUUUU
This 368-nucleotide long non-coding RNA is filed under the name Gossypium barbadense (sea-island cotton). RNAcentral's name for it is "long non-coding RNA (GBAR_LNC010708)". The record is from RNAcentral. Lineage: Eukaryota; Viridiplantae; Streptophyta; Magnoliopsida; Malvales; Malvaceae.